Molecule: ribosomal RNA, 274 nt
Filed under: uncultured bacterium
Lineage: Bacteria
Description: partial 16S ribosomal RNA
Rfam family: Bacterial small subunit ribosomal RNA
Source: RNAcentral
AUACGGAGGGUGCAAGCGUUGUUCGGAAUCACUGGGCGUAAAGGGCGCGCAGGCGGUUUUACAAGUCAGAUGUGAAAGCCCACGGCUUAACCGUGGAAGUGCAUUUGAAACUGUAAGACUUGAGUAUCAGAGGGGAAGGUGGAAUUCCCGGUGUAGAGGUGAAAUUCGUAGAUAGCGGGAGGAAUACCGGUGGCGAAGGCGACUUUCUGGCUGAAUACUGACGCUGAGGCGCGAAAGCGAGGGGAGCAAACAGGAUUAGAUACCCUAGUAGUCC